Molecule: non-coding RNA, 83 nt
Organism: Carcharodon carcharias (great white shark)
Lineage: Eukaryota; Metazoa; Chordata; Chondrichthyes; Lamniformes; Lamnidae
Source: the annotation of a RefSeq genome assembly
GGUAGUGUGGCCGAGCGGUCUAAGGCGCUGGACUUAAGUUCCAGUCUCUAUACGAGACGUGGGUUCAAAUCCCACCACUGCCA